AUAUAAAGUCUAGAACUUUCAUUAGAAUAA
RNAcentral lists this transfer RNA (30 nucleotides) under Coptotermes gestroi. Its description in RNAcentral is "partial transfer RNA-Leu". Lineage: Eukaryota; Metazoa; Arthropoda; Insecta; Blattodea; Rhinotermitidae. The record is from RNAcentral.